AGUGGCGGACGGGUGAGUAACGCGUGAGAAUCUGCCUUGGGGUCGGGGACAACCACUGGAAACGGUGGCUAAUACCGGAUAAGCCGAUUGGUGAAAGAUUUAUUGCCCUAAGAGGAGCUCGCGUCUGAUUAGCUAGUUGGUGAGGUAAGAGCUCACCAAGGCAGCGAUCAGUAGCUGGUCUGAGAGGACGAUCAGCCACACUGGGACUGAGACACGGCCCAGACUCCUACGGGAGGCAGCAGUGGGGAAUUUUCCGCAAUGGGCGAAAGCCUGACGGAGCAAGACCGCGUGAGGGAGGAAGGCUCUUGGGUUGUAAACCUCUUUUCUCAGGGAAGAAGCUCUGACGGUACCUGAGGAAUCAGCCUCGGCUAACUCCGUGCCAGCAGCCGCGGUAAUACGGAGGAGGCAAGCGUUAUCCGGAAUUAUUGGGCGUAAAGCGUCCGCAGGUGGUGAUUCAAGUCUGCUGUCAAAGCACGGGGCUUAACUCCGUAAAGGCAGUGGAAACUGAAUAGCUAGAGUGCCGUAGGGGUAGAGGGAAUUCCCGGUGUAGCGGUGAAAUGCGUAGAGAUCGGGAAGAACAUCGGUGGCGAAAGCGCUCUACUGGACGGCAACUGACACUCAGGGACGAAAGCUAGGGGAGCGAAUGGGAUUAGAUACCCC
Molecule: ribosomal RNA, 660 nt
Filed under: uncultured bacterium
Lineage: Bacteria
Description: bacterial SSU rRNA
Rfam family: Bacterial small subunit ribosomal RNA
Source: RNAcentral